GACAGAGGGUGCAAACGUUGUUCGGAAUUACUGGGCGUAAAGCGUGCGCAGGCGGUUUGUUAAGUCUGAUGUGAAAGCCCCGGGCUCAACCUGGGAACUGCAUUGGAAACUGGCAAGCUCGAGUAUGGCAGAGGGGGGUGGAAUUCCGCGUGUAGCAGUGAAAUGCGUAGAUAUGCGGAGGAACACCGAUGGCGAAGGCAAUCCCCUGGGCCUGCACUGACGCUCAUGCACGAAAGCGUGGGGAGCAAACAGG
RNAcentral lists this ribosomal RNA (253 nucleotides) under uncultured bacterium. RNAcentral describes it as "partial 16S ribosomal RNA". It matches the Rfam family "Bacterial small subunit ribosomal RNA", at positions 524 to 776 of the family's 1533-position model. The record is from RNAcentral.